RNAcentral lists this long non-coding RNA (510 nucleotides) under Stegodyphus dumicola. RNAcentral's name for it is "uncharacterized LOC118205070, transcript variant X3". The record is from RNAcentral. Lineage: Eukaryota; Metazoa; Arthropoda; Arachnida; Araneae; Eresidae.
UGUUUAUUAAAUAAUAUCCUAGUUCCUGCUUUACUUCAAAGAAAACUAUGAAAAUGCUGAUGUCGAGUGUUUAUUCGUCAAGAAGCAUGUGCAGAAUUCAAAUAAUAUAUAAAAGAAACAUGCUCCUUGCUGUGAUACCAAUAACUACCCCCCUCGCACUCUUUCGAUUAUGGAGCCCCCGAGUCCUGUAAAUUAUUUCUAAUGCAUGAGAAGCGCCUGGCUGCUCUUAGAUACCUUCAGCAUGACUUUACUUCUCAUCUUAUUUUGACUUAUAUGAGAUAUACUUCCCUUUACUAUUUUUUGCUGGUAUUUCUCUUCAUAUGAAAUAUUAGAUACGCCAAGAUCGUAUCUAUCAAAGUGAAGCUCUUCAAGAACAGUAAGUGCUUUCUCCACAGAAAUUCUUCUUACAGGCAUUUUCUUAUAAACACUUAACCGCCCUUCAAAAGUCAUAUAUUAGCUUCUUUUUUUUAUUCCAAAGAUAAAUGUUUUGAGUUCUUUAGUCUCUUAUCU